UUAGCUACAGAACAUCAAAAGCUCAAGGAAGGCUACAAGGUUCUAUAUGCAUAUAACGGCUGAAAUAUCAUGGCAUUCAAUUGAUAUUUUUUUAGGUACCGAAGCCAACUUUCGAGAUGAGAGAUUUUACCAUUUAUGCUAAAAAAGUACAUAAAUUUACACAAUUCAUUGUCUCCAAUCCCACAGAACUCCAGUAACUCAAGCAACAACUAUUGAAUAAGCUACAAGUUAAAAGAUCAACUGACAUUAGAGUUCAGAUAACAAGUCAGGAAAGAAGAGGGAGUUGAUACAUGUCAAAAUCAAGAAACAGCUGAAGGAAACGACAACAGCCAGCCAACAAGGCUUGAUCUCAUCAGCAGCAAAUGGUGCAUCUAACCAAUCCAUUUUCGUUGCGCUCAGGGCACCUAAUAGUAUGCAUUUCAUCACUAUCUCCAUCAUUGAAGACCUUGCAACUUCCAUUGCAAUUGAAGCAAACAAAGAAACUUUUGUUGCCACAGCCAGCACAAGGGCUAUUGGAGAGUACUUAAUGGAGCUUUUUUGGCUUCCCUUGCUUGUGCAAGCUAACCACUUCAUCGGCUUCCCCUAUGUACCUUCCCUUCUCUUGAUGAAAAGCCUUGGAGGGAUCACUCUUCCACACAAUAUCCUCCAUAGUUCAUCCCUAUAUUCCAAGUGCAUCGAAACAUCUCUUUCGUAGAACUCAACUUUGAAACUCUCUAACAAAAACAGAUACUUCUCAAACUUCUUGUGUAUAGAAUUAUAAAGUCGUGUCGUCCAGCAGAACAUUUCUCUUCAAAAUGUGAAAGAGAUGGAUAUUCUUCAGUACCCUUCUCAGCUUCGUUAGCUGUAUAAUACUAUCUCUGAGGAGACUGGAGACUCCAAAUUAUCUACGGCAGGCGCUUGUUACUGAACCCUGUAAAAGGUGUAAGUUUCUCCUUGUUGCAAAAAUGGAGUUCCCAUUCAUGUUGUUUAUCUUUUGAUCUGUGAAAUGUUCGGCUUCUGGGAGAUUUUUUUAUUUUGUAAUCUUCAUGCAUGUAAUCUGAUGGAAUUUGUAGGUUCUGAUUGCAGAACUUGUCUGGGGAGUUCAGCAUGUGAUCAGAAGAAGCAUUUGAUCAGUGGAAGCAAUGACUAAGAGGACAUGAGCAGUUACGGAGAUUUCUGUUUUGGUUUCUAAUUGCUGAAAAGUAAUAGAUUGAAAAGCUCUCUGUUUGGGUGGUGUCCACUGUGCCUCCCCACCCCUUUUAGUGCACUGACCCUUUACCAACAGUUUUUGAUGCCUUAUCGAGGUAUGAAGGGCAAGGCCUGAAAGAGGGUGUGCUUUGUCAUUUCAAAACAAUUGAAUGACUGAAGAUACCCCCUUAGUGAUUUUCUCAGCAGAGAUUAAUGCCCUUGAUACCGUGAGGAGGCAGAGUUUGAUUUGUGUAGUGGAACCAAUGGAGUGGUCUCCGAGCUGAGCUGAAUCAAUGCAGACAAGGUGCGUGCACAAGGUCAAGGUUCAAUACCAAGUAUGAAAAAGCAGCUUUCAACACUAGUGGACUUUCCCCUUACCACCUAUUUAUUUACUUUAUUUUAUAUAAGCUCGAUAGAUGAGACCUUUGCGAC
Molecule: long non-coding RNA, 1599 nt
Organism: Manihot esculenta (cassava)
Lineage: Eukaryota; Viridiplantae; Streptophyta; Magnoliopsida; Malpighiales; Euphorbiaceae
Exons: 2
Source: RefSeq, a predicted model, not a curated record